This 72-nucleotide transfer RNA is filed under the name Pleurogrammus monopterygius (Atka mackerel). RNAcentral describes it as "tRNA-Thr". It matches the Rfam family "tRNA". Rfam says of the family: Transfer RNA (tRNA) molecules are approximately 80 nucleotides in length. Their secondary structure includes four short double-helical elements and three loops (D, anti-codon, and T loops). Lineage: Eukaryota; Metazoa; Chordata; Actinopteri; Perciformes; Hexagrammidae. The record is from RNAcentral.
GCAGUGGUAGCUCAACGCCAGAGCGCCGGUCUUGUAAACCGGAUGCCGGAGGUUAAAACCCUCCCCACUGCU